Molecule: ribosomal RNA, 427 nt
Filed under: uncultured bacterium
Lineage: Bacteria
Description: bacterial SSU rRNA
Rfam family: Bacterial small subunit ribosomal RNA
Source: RNAcentral
UGGGGAAUCUUCCGCAAUGGACGAAAGUCUGACGGAGCAACGCCGCGUGAGUGAAGAAGGCCUUCGGGUUGUAAAGCUCUGUCUUUGGGGACGAACGUGCCUAUCAUAAAUAAUGAUAGGUAAUGACGGUACCUGAGGAGGAAGCCACGGCUAACUACGUGCCAGCAGCCGCGGUAAUACGUAGGUGGCAAGCGUUGUCCGGAAUUAUUGGGCGUAAAGCGCGCGCAGGCGGGAUAUCAAGUCUAUCUUAAAAGUUCGGGGCUCAACCCCGUGAUGGGAUGGAAACUGGUAUUCUUGAGUGUCGGAGAGGAAAGUGGAAUUCCCAGUGUAGCGGUGAAAUGCGUAGAUAUUGGGAGGAACACCAGUGGCGAAGGCGACUUUCUGGACGAUGUCUGACGCUGAGGCGCGAAAGCCAGGGGAGUGAACG